This 450-nucleotide ribosomal RNA is filed under the name uncultured bacterium. Its description in RNAcentral is "bacterial SSU rRNA". It matches the Rfam family "Bacterial small subunit ribosomal RNA", at positions 329 to 793 of the family's 1533-position model. The record is from RNAcentral.
UACCAGACUCCUACGGGAGGCAGCAGUGGGGAAUAUUGGGCAAUGGGCGCAAGCCUGACCCAGCAACGCCGCGUGAAGGAAGAAGGCUUUCGGGUUGUAAACUUCUUUUCUCAGGGACGAAGAAAGUGACGGUACCUGAGGAAUAAGCCACGGCUAACUACGUGCCAGCAGCCGCUGUAAUACGUAGGUGGCAAGCGUUAUCCGGAUUUACUGGGUGUAAAGGGCGUGUAGGCGGGAAAGCAAGUCAGAUGUGAAAACCACGGGCUCAACCUGUGGCCUGCAUUUGAAACUGUACUUCUUGAGUGCUGGAGAGGCAAUCGGAAUUCCGUGGGUAGCGGUGAAAUGCGUAGAUAUAAGGAAGAACACCAGUGGCGAAGGCGGAUGACUGGACGGCAACUGACGGUGAGGCGCGAAAGCGUGGGGAGCAAACAGGAUUAGAUACCCCGGUAC